This 293-nucleotide long non-coding RNA is filed under the name Homo sapiens (human). Its description in RNAcentral is "non-protein coding LINC02298:15". Lineage: Eukaryota; Metazoa; Chordata; Mammalia; Primates; Hominidae. The record is from RNAcentral.
GCGGGGAUCCCUGGGACCCAGCCUUGUUCUACUGCCCACUUGACGCGGCGGGCACCCUCCUUCCUGCUGUUGUCCACACCAAGGGUGGCCUACAGAGGGAAGUGAGGACCUUGGGACUUCCUCCAGGACAGCCCUCGCUGUCCAAAUCUCCACCUGCUGCAGAGCUGCCUCCAGUCAAGCCCUUGUUUCCAGCUUUCUGUGCCCUAAAUAAACUUCUGCUGGGAUUGAGCCAUCAGCAUUCUGUGGUGGGCGUCGCUGCUGCGAGGUUGCCCUCGUGCACACAAGCUCCUCAC